RNAcentral lists this ribosomal RNA (440 nucleotides) under uncultured bacterium. RNAcentral describes it as "partial 16S ribosomal RNA". It matches the Rfam family "Bacterial small subunit ribosomal RNA", at positions 338 to 795 of the family's 1533-position model. The record is from RNAcentral.
CCUACGGGUGGCAGCAGUGGGGGAUAUUGCACAAUGGGGGAAACCCUGAUGCAGCGACGCCGCGUGAGUGAAGAAGUAUUUCGGUAUGUAAAGCUCUAUCAGCAGGGAAGAAAAUGACAGUACCUGACCAAGAAGCCCCGGCUAACUACGUGCCAGCAGCCGCGGUAAUACGUAGGGGGCAAGCGUUAUCCGGAUUUACUGGGUGUAAAGGGAGCGCAGGCGGCGUGGCAAGUCAGAUGUGAAAACCCGGGGCCCAACCCCGGGAGUGCAUUUGAAACUGCCAUGCUGGAGUGCCGGAGAGGUAAGCGGAAUUCCUAGUGUAGCGGUGAAAUGCGUAGAUAUUAGGAGGAACACCAGUGGCGGAGGCGGCUUACUGGACGGUAACUGACGCUGAGGCUCGAAAGCGUGGGGAGCAAACAGGAUUAGAUACCCCUGUAGUC